Molecule: ribosomal RNA, 253 nt
Filed under: uncultured bacterium
Lineage: Bacteria
Description: partial 16S ribosomal RNA
Rfam family: Bacterial small subunit ribosomal RNA
Source: RNAcentral
GACAGAGGGUGCAAACGUUGUUCGGAAUUACUGGGCGUAAAGCGCGUGUAGGCGGCUUUGCAAGUCGGGCGUGAAAUCCCACGGCUCAACCGUGGAAGUGCACUCGAAACUGCAGAGCUAGAGUCCUGGAGAGGAAGGUGGAAUGCUUGGUGUAGAGGUGAAAUUCGUAGAUAUCAAGCGGAACACCGGUGGCGAAGGCGGCCUUCUGGACAGUGACUGACGCUGAGGAGCGAAAGUGUGGGGAGCGAACAGG